ACGGAAGGCAGCAGUGAGGAAUAUUGGUCAAUGGACGGAAGUCUGAACCAGCCAAGUCGCGUGAAGGAUGAAGGUAUUAUGUAUUGUAAACUUCUUUAGCAGUGGAGUAAUAAGGGGAUCGCGAUCCCUGAUGCAAGUACACUGAGAAUAAGGAUCGGCUAACUCCGUGCCAGCAGCCGCGGUAAUACGGAGGAUCCGAGCGUUAUCCGGAUUUAUUGGGUUUAAAGGGUGCGCAGGCGGCUUUUUAAGUCAGUGGUUACAUCGUGACGCUCAACGUCAUCACGCCAUUGAUACUGGAGAGCUUGAUUGCGGUCGAGGUUUGCGGAAUUCGUUGUGUAGCGGUGAAAUGCAUAGAUAUGACGAAGAACACCGAUUGCGUAGGCAGCAGACCAGGCCGUAAAUGACGCUCAUGCACGAAAGUGCGGGGAUCGAACAGGAUUAGAUACCCUGGUA
RNAcentral lists this ribosomal RNA (453 nucleotides) under uncultured Porphyromonadaceae bacterium. Its description in RNAcentral is "partial 16S ribosomal RNA". It matches the Rfam family "Bacterial small subunit ribosomal RNA", at positions 341 to 792 of the family's 1533-position model. The record is from RNAcentral. Lineage: Bacteria; Pseudomonadati; Bacteroidota; Bacteroidia; Bacteroidales; Porphyromonadaceae.